This is a long non-coding RNA of Oreochromis aureus, 857 nucleotides long. Lineage: Eukaryota; Metazoa; Chordata; Actinopteri; Cichliformes; Cichlidae. The record is from Ensembl.
GCCAAACUUGAUGCUGGGGAUUUAUUUUUGUCAGUGGAGUCAAAUGGUUGAAGCAGAAUUUGCCCGUCUUACAUCUGUUGACCUGAAAGGGUUCCUUUUGCUGUGCUUGACCAUUAUGGAGAGGUUCGUGGAGCUGUACAAAAUCAAGAGCGGCAUAGGAGGGCUAACCAGGCUCAUAAGAUGCUUCGGUGAUGAUAGCCCUACACAAAGGAAGAGGACAGAGGACCUCAUUUUCUAAAGGAAGAUCCCUCACACACUUUCAAGACUGUGAAGCCGACAGGUACUGAAGACACGUUUUCUAAGAGGAUGAAAGUUGGCAUUGUGAUGGUGAAAGAAGAAGACAUCAUCGAUGUGUUGGUUGUCCUUGAGGCGGCAGUAAUCCUGUCUAAUCUAAGGGAUGUCUCAAGUGCCAUUUCCAUGCUGAUGGGCCUUCUUUUUGCCCUCAACAUAGACUAUCCAAAGGAACUUAAGGACAUCUUUGAAGUCAUUCAGAACGUCCUAAUGAACAUUGGUGGAAGGCAGUGCGUCUCACUAGUGCAUGGUCUACACUGAAAAAAGAACCAACUUAAUUGAAUUAGGUGUUACCAAUUGAAAUAAUUCAAUUAAGUUGGUUCACCUAUUUUCUUUUUACAGUGUAAGAAACAGACUCUUGCAGAAAGCCAUGCAGAACUGUAAUUGUAUGCUCACAGCAUACAAUUGCCUUAGUGUUAAGGACAGUUUUAUUUUACUGUUUGUUUUUUACUCUUGCAAGUUCUCAUUCUCACUUUUGUAUGUCACUAAAUGACUACACUUUACAUUCCAGAUUAGACAAUUACUCAUUUGUUCAUGGUUUAAGAAACUUAUGUGAACAACAAUAU